This 1290-nucleotide long non-coding RNA is filed under the name Cyanistes caeruleus (blue tit). RNAcentral describes it as "lncRNA (ENSCCEG00000003380.1)". Lineage: Eukaryota; Metazoa; Chordata; Aves; Passeriformes; Paridae. The record is from RNAcentral.
GGUCACUUGGUCACUCCCAGCUGGUCACUCCAGGGUCACUUUGGGGUCACUCUGGGGUCAUUUUGUCCCUGGCCAAAGGGGAGUGACCACAGGUGGUCACUUGGAGAGUUCGGUGGUCACUCCUGGGUCACUCCCAGCUGGUCACUCUGGGGUCACUUUGGGGUCACUCGGAGACUCUGGUGGUCACUUUGAGAGUUUGGUGGUCACUCUUGGGUGGUCACUCUUGGGUGGUCACUCUGAAGUCACUCCGGGGUCACUCAGUGGUCACUCUGAGACUCUGGUGGUCACUCCGUCACUCCUGGCUCACUCUGGUGGUCACUUGGUGAGUCUUGGGUGGUCACUCCAGGGUGGUCACUCAGGUGGUCACUCAGAGACUUUUAGAUGGUCAGUGGUCACUCAAGUGGUCACUCUUGGGUGGUCAGGUGGUCACUCGGUUACUCUGGAGUGGUCACCCCAUGGUCAGGUCAUCUCUCAGGCCAUGCUGUGGUCACUCCGCGGUCACUCGGUGGUCAGUUGGUCACUCUGUGGUCACUCUCAGGUCAUCCCGGGGCCACCCUGUGGUCACUCAGUGGUCACUCCAUCACUCUCAGGCCAUCCUGUGGUCAGUGGUCACCCCGUGGUCACUCGGUGGUCACUCAGUGGUCAGUGGUCACUCAGUGGUCACUCGGUGGUCACUCGGUGGUCAGUUGGUCACUCUCAGGCCAGCACGUGAGCCACCGGCACUUUCCGUGUCCGGCCUCCGGCCGCGGGCGGGACCACGAUGGCCGCGGGGUCGUCGUCGUCGUCGCCGUCCGGGGGCAGCCCUGGGGGAGGUUCCGGAACGUUCCGGGGGGUUCUGCAACCUUCCAUGGGGUUCUAUGGAGGUUCUGGAACCUUCCAUGGGGUUCUAUGGAGGUUCUAUGGGGGUUCUGGAACCUUCCAUGGGGUUCUAUGGAGGUUCUAUGGAGGUUCUGGAACCUUCCAUGGGGUUCUAUGGAGGUUCUGGAACCUUCCAUGGGGGUCCUGGAGCCUUCCAUGGGGUUCUAUGGAGGUUCUAUGGGGGUUCUGGAAGGUUCCAUGGGGGUUCUGGAGCCUUCCAUGGGGUUCUAUUGGGUUUCUAUGGGGCUUCUGGAACCUUCCAUGGGGGUUCUGGAACCUUCUGUGGGGUUCUGGAAGCUUCCAUGGGUUUGUAUGGGGGUUCUGGAAACUUCCACGGGGUUCUGGAACCUUCUAUGGGGGUUCUGGAACCUUCCAUGGGGUUCUAUUGGGUUUCUAUGGGGGUUCUGGAACCUUCCAGGGGGUUCUUGGAGG